RNAcentral lists this small nucleolar RNA (105 nucleotides) under Caenorhabditis japonica. RNAcentral describes it as "snoRNA CJA48463". It matches the Rfam family "Caenorhabditis snoRNA ceN113". The record is from Rfam by way of RNAcentral. Lineage: Eukaryota; Metazoa; Nematoda; Chromadorea; Rhabditida; Rhabditidae.
UGGCUGGUGAUGCUCGCGAAUUAUACAACUUACUACAACCUGAUCUUAUUUGAAAGGUUCUAUACAGUACCUACUCCGUGUGAACUGAAAUUACGACUGAAGCUG